GGCGGAUGGUUCCUCCCUCCCUCCCUCUCCCCGCCCGCGCCGCUUGCAGAAAACUAAUGAAUCAUGUCUAGCUGGAUGCAAGCGGCCGACACGCCAGUGCCCUGCGAUGCUGGCUGGUGCCGCCUCCGCCUGCCCCCCUCCGCUCUCCCCAGUUUGUAAUCUGACACAGCGCGCCGCAGUCGUCUCCGCCGCGAACCUCCCGGGCCCUGGCACUGCCGGCCUCUAAGCCUAGAAAUGGCCCGCCGCGCCUGAAGCCCGCAGGAGCCCACGCCGUGCUCGGCCAGCCCCAGCCUUUGGAAGACCCGCCAGGGACCUUCCCGGCUUUGCGUCCGGAGACCAGGGACCCCGCGGUGGGACUGCGUGGAAAACGGCCCGGAGGAUGUGGCCCCCGGAGAGCCUCACCUGAGACCUCAUCACGCCGGCCUUCCCGCAGGGGCCCGGCAGCAUGACAAGGUACCGACCCCCACGCAGACGGCGGGGCCUGGGGAGGGGCGAGGAGCCACCGGAUUCCCCCGGGGUCGGGGUGCCUGGACCCGGCCUCUGAAGCAUUUCCGUGCUGUCGGCCCACUCAGAGGUCUCGUAGGCGCCACCACCAGGCCACAGGGGACCUGCCGACGGCCACCGCCCCCGUGGACGGCGUGGCCGCUGCCCGCAGCUCCAGUCCAGACCCCGGGCUUCCCGGAUGCUGCCCCCUCCCCACCCGCAUCUGAGUCCUUGCCUCACUGUGUUUUCUGCAGCUCAUGACAGCAUCCCCGAAACUGAGUAAUUGACAGAGAAAAGGAAUUUGUUUCCUACGGUUCUGCAGGCUGAGCCGUCCCAGGUGGAGGGGCCGCACCUGAUGGGGACUCUGCAGGGUCCCAAGGUGGCACCGGGGGUCACCCCAUGAGGGGCUAAGGGUGCCCACAUGCUGGCUUGGGCCACUCGGCCUCUUCCCAUGAAGCUGCCCGGUCCCCGCCUGUGAUACCUGUUGACCCAGUAAUCCAGUGGGCAGAGCUGUCGUGAUCCAAUCUCCCCUUUUAUUUAUUUAUUUUUUUUGAGACAGAGUCUCACUC
RNAcentral lists this long non-coding RNA (1052 nucleotides) under Microcebus murinus (gray mouse lemur). Its description in RNAcentral is "lncRNA (ENSMICG00000048769.1)". Lineage: Eukaryota; Metazoa; Chordata; Mammalia; Primates; Cheirogaleidae. The record is from RNAcentral.